AGUGAACGCUGGCGGCAGGCCUAAUACAUGCAAGUCGAACGGCAGCACAGUGGAGCUUGCUCCAUGGGUGGCGAGUGGCGGACGGGUGAGGAAUACAUGGGAAUCUGCCCAGUCGUGGGGGAUAACGUAGGGAAACUUACGCUAAUUCCGCAUGCGCCCUUCGGGGGAAAGCCGGGGACCUUCGGGCCUGGCGCGAUUGGAUGAGCCCAUGUUCGAUUAGCUAGUUGGCGGGGUAAAGGCCCACCAAGGCGACGAUCGAUAGCUGGUCUGAGAGGAUGAUCAGCCACACUGGGACUGAGACACGGCCCAGACUCCUACGGGAGGCAGCAGUAGGGAAUAUUGGACAAUGGGCGCAAGCCUGAUCCAGCCAUGCCGCGUGAGUGAAGAAGGCCCUCGGGUUGUAAAGCUCUUUUGUCCGGGAAGAAAAGCAUCGGGCUAAUACCUCGGUGUUCUGACGGUACCGGAAGAAUAAGCACCGGCUAACUUCGUG
This 490-nucleotide ribosomal RNA is filed under the name uncultured bacterium. Its description in RNAcentral is "partial 16S ribosomal RNA". It matches the Rfam family "Bacterial small subunit ribosomal RNA", at positions 29 to 507 of the family's 1533-position model. The record is from RNAcentral.